GAGGGUAUAGCUCAGUGGGUGGAGCACAUGCUUGGCAUGCACGAGGUCGUGGGUUCAAUCCCCAGUGCCUCCA
RNAcentral lists this transfer RNA (73 nucleotides) under Camelus bactrianus (Bactrian camel). It matches the Rfam family "tRNA". From Rfam's summary of the family: Transfer RNA (tRNA) molecules are approximately 80 nucleotides in length. Their secondary structure includes four short double-helical elements and three loops (D, anti-codon, and T loops). The record is from Rfam by way of RNAcentral. RNAcentral also lists the same sequence under 2 other names. Lineage: Eukaryota; Metazoa; Chordata; Mammalia; Artiodactyla; Camelidae.